Molecule: ribosomal RNA, 100 nt
Filed under: Klebsiella oxytoca
Lineage: Bacteria; Pseudomonadati; Pseudomonadota; Gammaproteobacteria; Enterobacterales; Enterobacteriaceae
Also listed under: 1 other name
Source: RNAcentral
CCUGGCGGCGAUAGCGCGGUGGUCCCACCUGACCCCAUGCCGAACUCAGAAGUGAAACGCCGUAGCGCCGAUGGUAGUGUGGGGUCUCCCCAUGUGAGAG